This 468-nucleotide ribosomal RNA is filed under the name uncultured bacterium. RNAcentral's name for it is "partial 16S ribosomal RNA". It matches the Rfam family "Bacterial small subunit ribosomal RNA", at positions 28 to 507 of the family's 1533-position model. The record is from RNAcentral.
GACGAACGCUGGCGGCGUGCUUAACACAUGCAAUUCGAACGGAAAGGCCCUGCUUUUGUGGGGUGCUCGAGUGGCGAACGGGUGAGUAACACGUUAGUAACCUGCCCUUGACUUUGGGAUAACUUCAGGAAACUGGGGCUAAUACCGGAUAGGAGCUCCUGCUGCAUGGUGGGGGUUGGAAAGUUUCGGCGGUUGGGGAUGGACUCGCGGCUUAUCAGCUUGUUGGUGGGGUAGUGGCUUACCAAGGCUUUGACGGGUAGCCGGCCUGAGAGGGUUACCGGCCACAUUGGGACGGAGAUACGGCCCAGACUCCUACGGGAGGCAGCAGUGGGGAAUAUUGCACAAUGGGCGGAAGCCUGAUGCAGCAAAGCCGCGUGAGGGAUGACGGCCUUCGGGUUUUAAACCGCUUUCGCCUGUGACGAAGCGUGAGUGACGGUAAUGGGUAAAGAAGCACCGGCUAACUACGUG